This 247-nucleotide ribosomal RNA is filed under the name uncultured bacterium. RNAcentral describes it as "partial 16S ribosomal RNA". It matches the Rfam family "Bacterial small subunit ribosomal RNA", at positions 86 to 334 of the family's 1533-position model. The record is from RNAcentral.
AGAUGGCGACCGGCGCACGGGUGAGUGACACGUAUCCAACCUGCCGAUAACUCGGGGAUAGCCUUUCGAAAGAAAGAUUAAUACCCGAUGGUAUAAUCAGACCGCAUGGUUUGAUUAUUAAAGAAUUUCGGUUAUCGAUGGGGAUGCGUUCCAUUAGGCAGUUGGUGAGGUAACGGCUCACCAAACCUUCGAUGGAUAGGGGUUCUGAGAGGAAGGUCCCCCACAUUGGAACUGAGACACGGUCCAA